AAGAAGGGUAUGAAAGAGAGUUCGAGUUUUUUACGAACCGCCGAAGGGACAAACUUUGGAGUUAGCCGCUCUAAAGUGAAAUUCUCAGGCAAAAGGAUCAUAUCUGGACA
RNAcentral lists this non-coding RNA (110 nucleotides) under Peptoclostridium litorale. RNAcentral's name for it is "Clostridium litorale Glycine sequence". It matches the Rfam family "Glycine riboswitch aptamer". Rfam says of the family: This family represents the bacterial glycine riboswitch. Glycine riboswitches usually consist of two metabolite-binding aptamers domains with similar structures in tandem. Lineage: Bacteria; Bacillati; Bacillota; Clostridia; Peptostreptococcales; Peptoclostridiaceae. The record is from RNAcentral. RNAcentral also lists the same sequence under 1 other name.